UCGAACGAAGUUAUUUGAGCUUGCUUAGAUAACUUAGUGGCGGACGGGUGAGUAACACGUGAGCAAUCUGCCUUUCAGAGGGGGAUACCGAUUGGAAACGAUCGUUAAUACCGCAUAACAUAGUAAAUUCGCAUGUUUUUACUAUCAAAGAUUUAUCGCUGAAAGAUGAGCUCGCGUCUGAUUAGGUAGUUGGUGAGGUAACGGCCCACCAAGCCGACGAUCAGUAGCCGGACUGAGAGGUUGAACGGCCACAUUGGGACUGAGACACGGCCCAGACUCCUACGGGAGGCAGCAGUGGGGAAUAUUGCACAAUGGAGGAAACUCUGAUGCAGCGAUGCCGCGUGAGGGAAGAAGGUUUUCGGAUUGUAAACCUCUGUGUACAGGGACGAUAAUGACGGUACCUGUUCAGAAAGCUCCGGCUAACUACGUGCCAGCAGCCGCGGUAAUAC
Molecule: ribosomal RNA, 449 nt
Filed under: uncultured bacterium
Lineage: Bacteria
Description: bacterial SSU rRNA
Rfam family: Bacterial small subunit ribosomal RNA
Source: RNAcentral